AACGCGAAGAACCUUACCAGGACUUGACAUGCCACUUUUUCCCUGAAAGGGGAAGUUCCCGAGUGGACACAGGUGGUGCAUGGCUGUCGUCAGCUCGUGUCUUGAGAUGUUGGGUUAAGUCCCGCAACGAGCGCAACCCUUGUUUUGAGUUGCUAUUUUUAGGAAACUCAAAAGACUGCCGGUGAGAAGCCGGAGGAAGGUGAGGAUGACGUCAAGUCAGCAUGCCCCUUACGUCCUGGGCGACACACGUGCUACAAUGGCCGGGACAAAGAGAUGCAAUCCCGCGAGGGGGAGCCAACCUCAAAAACCCGGUCUCAGUUCGGAUUGUAGGCUGCAACUCGCCUACAUGAAGUCGGAAUCGCUAGUAAUCGCAGUCAGGUCAGACAUACUGCGGUGAAUACGUUCCCGGGUCUUGUACACACCG
Molecule: ribosomal RNA, 424 nt
Filed under: uncultured bacterium
Lineage: Bacteria
Description: bacterial SSU rRNA
Rfam family: Bacterial small subunit ribosomal RNA
Source: RNAcentral